This 66-nucleotide transfer RNA is filed under the name Megadyptes antipodes (Yellow-eyed penguin). Its description in RNAcentral is "tRNA-Cys". The record is from RNAcentral. Lineage: Eukaryota; Metazoa; Chordata; Aves; Sphenisciformes; Spheniscidae.
AGGUCCUGGUGUACUUUUAGCACACAUCAAUGAGCUUGCAACUCAACAUGAAUUUCACUACAGAAC